GACAUAGGUGGCGAACGUUAUCCGGAUUUAUUGGGCGUAAAGGGUGCGUAGAUGGUGGAAUAAGUUAUUGGUCAAAGUCAAGCUCAACUUGGCGGAAGCUGGUAAUACUAUUCUACUUGAGGAUAGGAGAGGUUGGCGGAAUUCUGUGUGGAGCGGUGAAAUGCGGUGAUCUACAGAGGAACACCAAAAAAGGCGAAGGCAGCCAACUAGGCUAUUCCUGACAUUGAGGCAUGAAAGCGUGGGGAGCAAACCGG
RNAcentral lists this ribosomal RNA (254 nucleotides) under uncultured bacterium. RNAcentral describes it as "partial 16S ribosomal RNA". It matches the Rfam family "Bacterial small subunit ribosomal RNA", at positions 524 to 776 of the family's 1533-position model. The record is from RNAcentral.